RNAcentral lists this long non-coding RNA (1393 nucleotides) under Drosophila melanogaster (fruit fly). RNAcentral describes it as "antisense RNA:CR43467 (Dmel_CR43467)". Lineage: Eukaryota; Metazoa; Arthropoda; Insecta; Diptera; Drosophilidae. The record is from RNAcentral.
CAUUAAGUCAAAACCAAGACUUGGAUUAAGUGUCCUAAUCCUCAAGGUCGAGUGAAGGCGUUGCAUAAAGAGGAGCGCAAUCCUUCGGCUCCUGUAGUCCCAGUCCACCCAGGAGGUCUUGUACAGCUCGUGCGGAAGGUCCAGGCUGCGCUGGGUUACCUCACUGACGAUGAAAUUCAUUACUGGCCUGGGGAGGCAUUUCGGAUAUGGAAUACCCACCCGGCAUAGUAGCACAAUAUAAAAAUCUGAAUCAACAUGCACGCCUGAUAGGUCACAUACUUAAAGAGCUCCAGCCUCUCGUCAGAUAACUACAAUUAUGUAUAUAGGGAAAACAAAUUAAGACCAUUGUUUUUCUAGAAAGCAUUUAUGAUAGUCUUCUUGUUGCGAAUUCACAGCUCACCACAGCAAUGGCAUAGAAAUUGGCAGUCAGCACCAAAACCGAGCAGAAGAUCUGCACCGAAAUCGGCUUGCAAAGUAGACGCUCCACGGUUUUCGACAGUUCAACGAUGGUCAUGUGAUAGCGGAUAUUUUCCUUAAGUUGCUGUUCCACAGUGCCACCAGAAGUAGUGAUUAACCGACCGAUCUUGUCCAGUCGCACGGCCAGAAUGUCCAGCUGGCACUUGAGGAAGAUGAACAGUGAGGAGCAGAGUGAGUCGAAUCCUAUGUUGGUGAUGCAGGAUACGGACAAGGCCAGACACUGAUAGCAGUAGAGGAGCCAAUAAGCAGGUGAGCCGGUAUUCUCGCCAAGCGGAUUGUAUGUUUUGAGCGGAAGGUGGGACCAGUCCAAGGCGAACUGGGGUAUGAGAAUCAUGCUCAAGGCGGCAAACGAAAGCGCUCCAUAGAAGUCCCGAAGCUUCCUACUUCUUUCACAGGCUGCUGCAAAGAUCAACUCUUCGUUGGCGCCUCUAGGACGGAACUCUUCGUUAUCCAAUCUCCUAAAGAGCUCCUCCAUCUGCACAUUGUUCGCCUUUAUGGACAGCAGCUUGGUGGUGUGCCCUGCACUGGUGGCCAGGAUAAAGAUGGCUUUCACAACCUCGGACAUGUAGCUCAAAUUAGCCAUCACAUGGAGCACCAAGAGGAGAUCAAAGAGCAGCACCCAAAACACAAUUACGUGGACAUAGUUCACCUGGUGGAUGAUUCUCCACCGGCGUUCUAUCUGAGGCCACAACGAGAGGAUGUUCAAGAAUGCCUUCUGGCCCUUGUAAAAGAUUUCUACUCCUUUGCUCAUUUCACGUCCAGAUUUUUCCAGAACUUAAGAUUAAUUGAUUCGUUCAAGUGUUUAUAAGGCUUCUGAACGGCAUUUAAAAUGUCAUUAGACGACCUAAUCGUUGGUUAAUCAUUAAAUUAUUAAGACAAAAACAUAAUAUGACUAAUAAAAUCAAGUAAUGAUUUU